Molecule: ribosomal RNA, 260 nt
Filed under: uncultured bacterium
Lineage: Bacteria
Description: partial 16S ribosomal RNA
Rfam family: Bacterial small subunit ribosomal RNA
Source: RNAcentral
GUCCACGCCCUAACGAUGUCUACUAGUUGUCGGGACUUAAUUGUCUUGGUAACGCAGCUAACGCGUGAAGUAGACCGCCUGGGGAGUACGGUCGCAAGAUUAAACUCAAAGGAAUUGACGGGACCCGCACAAGCGGUGGAUGAUGUGGAUUAAUUCGAUGCAACGCGAAAACCUUACCUACCCUUGACAUGGUUGGAAUCCCGAAGAGAUUUGGGAGUGCUCGCAAGAGAACCAAUACACAGGUGCUGCAUGGCUGUCGU